AAAAAACCUAAAGAAACUAAUUUUAUAUUCCACAGAGCUGCCCAGGCCCCCUCGGCGGGCGCCUAGCGCCUAGCCCGAUUUGUCAAAAAUUUCCUUGUGAUUCUUUAUGUUAUCGGCUUGAUCUUGCCUCUUCUGUUGCCUGCGUCAAUUCUGGUCAAGCAUGGAAUUGAAAAUUAUCGUUGAUGUUGUCUGCUAAAGAACAAAUAACAUGUGAAGAUCACCUGUUAGACCCUUUUGUUGAGAAUUUCAUACUGGAAAUCAAAGUCCACUUCCGGUAAGUCCUCAAAAUCCUCAAAAUAAUCUUGUUCUGGUCUAUUUCUUUGGUUGUUUUUACAAGGAAAACUGUAUCUUAUUCAAAACAUAGAAAGCAAACCUACAUGAAAGAUGGGCUAGAAAGAAAACAGAGAAAGGAAAACUAUUUCUUUGUUCUUUUCGUCUUCAAAAAUAUCUUGUAGAAAACCAUCAAAAUCAGACCAACAAUCAUGACACGACAUAUGAAAUCAGAUUACAUUCAGCCCAAAACUGUGUCCAAUCAAUGUGAGUUACACCAAAGUAGUCUUUGGAAUGCUUUAACAAACACGGCCCAAGAGAGGCUAAUAUAAUAUGUCUGUUAGUUUUGAUACGUUAAUAUAAUAUACUAUCAUAUUGUGUUGUAACUCGCAAGUUUGUGGGAGUCUUUUUUGUUGUGUGCGUGUGCGUGUGCGGGGGGCGGGGAGGUGGAGGGGAAUGAAAUGGAAGAAGGCCAAUGCAUUAUGCAUCCAAGGGAGAAUUAUGGCCCAAUCCCAAAAAUGGAUUUCUCCAACCCUUAAAUUAGAUCUGCAAACGAAUUUUGCACUCAAUGUGUUUCAUAUUUUUGUCAUUUUGGGAUUUGACAUGCUUUUCUUCACAUGUUGAUGGUUUCCCGUUUCUCUGUUCUAUUUUAUUUUAUGGUAAGAUGCAGCAUAUUGAGCUUAUGCACAUGUGCUAUGCUCUGGAUUCAGAUGUUCUUGCGGUUGGAGUGAUGAAGGACUAUGACUGGUGAAGUUUCAUGUUUUCCUUUGAAAUGUAAAUGCUCUCAAUAUAUUUGUGAUAUAUAUAAUCAGUUUUAUUAGUUUGCUGCAUAUUUUUUCCUGUUCUUCAUUGUAAUUAUUUUAUAAUGCUUCUGUAAUGAUGCAGAUAAUGAUGGUGAAUGUCAUAAGUUCGCUUUUAAAUAUGGAUGAUCUUUCUCUCAAUUUGGCUCAUUGCGCCUCACCUUGGAGCUAUUCUGAAUCACAUUACACAUGUGCUUCGGAGCAAACUGAUCUAACACAUGAAGAGGGAAACAAAUUAGUUGUAUCUUUCACGAGGAACUACCUGAUAUAUUGCAUCGUUGUCUUCCUUCAUCUAUAAGUUUAUAACUGAACCAGAUCAAUUGGUUCUUGUGCAUGAAUUGCUUUUUGGAUAUUGGUUAUAGAUCACUGGUUUGCAAAUGGUAGUUUAUUUAUAAACUAUAAUGAUCACCCAGGCCAAACAAAAUAUGAUGACCUCAUUAUUCCGAAUGACAGAAAUAGAUGCUGAUAUUUGAAGAUGAUAGUACAUAAUCAGUUAAUAUGAAAGUGCUGACAACUCAAGUACUUGUCGCAGUUUGGGGGUUGAGGGAGUACUAACCAGGGGAGUUGAGGAGCACUAGCUAGGGGUGUCUCUUCGCAUAGCAGCUGAUCGCCAAGACUUGCGGA
RNAcentral lists this long non-coding RNA (1694 nucleotides) under Prunus dulcis (almond). RNAcentral describes it as "sRNA ncRNA". Lineage: Eukaryota; Viridiplantae; Streptophyta; Magnoliopsida; Rosales; Rosaceae. The record is from RNAcentral.